RNAcentral lists this ribosomal RNA (1429 nucleotides) under uncultured organism. RNAcentral describes it as "16S ribosomal RNA". It matches the Rfam family "Bacterial small subunit ribosomal RNA". The record is from RNAcentral.
GACGAACGCUGGCGGCGUGCUUAACACAUGCAAGUCGAACGGAAAGGCCCUGCUUUUGUGGGGUGCUCGAGUGGCGAACGGGUGAGUAACACGUGAGUAACCUGCCCUUGACUUUGGGAUAACUUCAGGAAACUGGGGCUAAUACCGGAUAGGAGCUCCUGCUGCAUGGUGGGGGUUGGAAAGUUUCGGCGGUUGGGGAUGGACUCGCGGCUUAUCAGCUUGUUGGUGGGGUAGUGGCUUACCAAGGCUUUGACGGGUAGCCGGCCUGAGAGGGUGACCGGCCACAUUGGGACUGAGAUACGGCCCAGACUCCUACGGGAGGCAGCAGUGGGGAAUAUUGCACAAUGGGCGGAAGCCUGAUGCAGCAACGCCGCGUGCGGGAUGACGGCCUUCGGGUUGUAAACCGCUUUCGCCUGUGACGAAGCGUGAGUGACGGUAAUGGGUAAAGAAGCACCGGCUAACUACGUGCCAGCAGCCGCGGUGAUACGUAGGGUGCGAGCGUUGUCCGGAUUUAUUGGGCGUAAAGGGCUCGUAGGUGGUUGAUCGCGUCGGAAGUGUAAUCUUGGGGCUUAACCCUGAGCGUGCUUUCGAUACGGGUUGACUUGAGGAAGGUAGGGGAGAAUGGAAUUCCUGGUGGAGCGGUGGAAUGCGCAGAUAUCAGGAGGAACACCAGUGGCGAAGGCGGUUCUCUGGGCCUUUCCUGACGCUGAGGAGCGAAAGCGUGGGGAGCGAACAGGCUUAGAUACCCUGGUAGUCCACGCUGUAAACGGUGGGUACUAGGUGUGGGGUCCAUUCCACGGGUUCCGUGCCGUAGCUAACGCUUUAAGUACCCCGCCUGGGGAGUACGGCCGCAAGGCUAAAACUCAAAGGAAUUGACGGGGCCCCGCACAAGCGGCGGAGCAUGCGGAUUAAUUCGAUGCAACGCGUAGAACCUUACCUGGGUUUGACAUGGAUCGGGAGUGCUCAGAGAUGGGUGUGCCUCUUUUGGGGUCGGUUCACAGGUGGUGCAUGCCUGUCGUCAGCUCGUGUCGUGAGAUGUUGGGUUAAGUCCCGCAACGAGCGCAACCCUUGUUCACUGUUGCCAGCACGUUAUGGUGGGGACUCAGUGGAGACCGCCGGGGUCAACUCGGAGGAAGGUGGGGAUGACGUCAAGUCCUCAUGCCCCUUAUGUCCAGGGCUUCACGCAUGCUACAAUGGCUGGUACAGAGAGUGGCGAGCCUGUGAGGGUGAGCGAAUCUCGGAAAGCCGGUCUCAGUUCGGAUUGGGGUCUGCAACUCGACCUCAUGAAGUCGGAGUCGCUAGUAAUCGCAGAUCAGCAACGCUGCGGUGAAUACGUUCCCGGGGCUUGUACACACCGCCCGUCAAGUCAUGAAAGUUGGUAACACCCGAAGCCGGUGGCCUAACCGUUGUGGGGGAGCCGUCGAAGGUG